GGGUCUGUUACAACAUCUUGGGGUCUGUUUUAAUGAAAGCAAUCUGUUAUAUAUAUUUACAUGUUUACUUUAAAAGUUUAUAUUUGGUAGGCUUUCUAACUAUUUUGAUGAGCGCGUUACUGAUGAGCUUAAGUAGACGAAAGGCGCGUCUGACGCAUCAAAUUUGAAGACCGAUACCCAUUCACACAUCAAAUCUACAUAAAGAAGAACUACCAGGAUCAUUUUCUUCAGUUUAUAUCAUACCACACGGAACUGUGGUCCGUUAUCAUAGUCCGUCAGCUCUUUUCUUGUCACGAAAACUCCAUUGAAAACUCACAAGCGAUUUUUAUGCAGCCUUGUAGUUAAUAAUUAAAUACUUUUUCGAUGCAUUUAUCUGUUUUUUUGUUUUCAUUUAUAAAUUAUGCCUAUAUACAAGUAAUGUUCGACCUGAACAUACUACUGCAACAGUUUGUCAUCGCAACAUUCAACAGUUUUACGAGUCUGUGCAGAUAAUAAGUGCGUACAUGAAAACGUUUGUAAAAAGGAAUAUCCCGAAAUAACAGAGGGAUCAGUUGACUCUGCAAGCAGUUAUGAGUCCUUGAAAUUAUGAAUCUGGUGAUGAGAUGUUGUUUGCCAGGGGAGGUAAAUUGCACGUAAGGUACGCCUUCGGGUUUGUGACCUUGAUUCAACAUUUAUGAUACUCCAUUUGAACAUAAGCAUAUUGAUGUCAUCAGCUUGAAACCAGUAAUCUAUCUUAGGACUUUCCCCAGUGUAAAAAAUAUUCCAGAAACAAAUAAAGUUAUAUACAUAUGAACUCCAAAAACAACGAUACACGAA
RNAcentral lists this long non-coding RNA (816 nucleotides) under Mytilus galloprovincialis (Mediterranean mussel). The record is from RNAcentral. Lineage: Eukaryota; Metazoa; Mollusca; Bivalvia; Mytilida; Mytilidae.